CUACGGGGGGCAGCAGUGAGGAAUAUUGCACAAUGGGGGGAACCCUGAUGCAGCAACGCCGCGUGGAGGAUGACGCAUUUCGGUGUGUAAACUCCUUUUAUAUGUCAAGAAAAUGACGGUAGCAUAUGAAUAAGCACCGGCUAACUCCGUGCCAGCAGCCGCGGUAAUACGGAGGGUGCAAGCGUUACUUGGAAUCAAUGGGCGUAAAGGACGCGUAGGCCGGUUGGAAAAGUCAGGUGUGAAAUCCUACAGCUUAACUGUAGAACUGCACUUGAAACUUCUAAUCUAGAGUAUGGGAGGGGGAGAUGGAAUUAGGGGUGUAGGGGUAAAAUCCGUAGAUAUCACUAGGAAUACCUAAAGCGAAGGCGAUCUCCUGGAACAUUACUGACGCUAAGGCGUGAAAGCGUGGGGAGCAAACAGGAUUAGAUACCCCCGUAGUC
Molecule: ribosomal RNA, 440 nt
Filed under: uncultured bacterium
Lineage: Bacteria
Description: partial 16S ribosomal RNA
Rfam family: Bacterial small subunit ribosomal RNA
Source: RNAcentral